Molecule: ribosomal RNA, 486 nt
Filed under: uncultured bacterium
Lineage: Bacteria
Description: bacterial SSU rRNA
Rfam family: Bacterial small subunit ribosomal RNA
Source: RNAcentral
UAGUCCACGCCGUAAACGAUGUAUGCUAGUUGUUGGAGUCUUAAGGCUUCAGUGACGCAGAGAAAUCAUUAAGCAUACCGCCUGGGGAGUACGGCCGCAAGGCUAAAACUCAAAGGAAUUGACGGGGACCCGCACAAGCGGUGGAGCAUGUUGUUUAAUUCGAAGCAACGCGAAGAACCUUACCCACACUUAACUAUCCUCUUGGGACUUUCAGAGAUGAUCGUCUUCGGUUCGCCGGGGAGUGAAUAGGUGCUGCAUGGCUGUCGUCAGCUCGUGUCGUGAGAUGUUAGGUUAAGUCCUGCAACGAGCGCAACCCUUACCCUUAUUUGCCAGCGAUUCGGUCGGGAACUAUAAGGGGACUGCCGGUGAUAAACCGGGAGGAAGGUGAGGACGACGUCAAGUCAUCAUGGGCCCUUACGUAUAGGGGCUACACACGUGCUACAAUGGAGAAUACAGACGGACGCUAAGCCGCGAGGUGGGUGCUAA